RNAcentral lists this ribosomal RNA (466 nucleotides) under uncultured bacterium. Its description in RNAcentral is "partial 16S ribosomal RNA". It matches the Rfam family "Bacterial small subunit ribosomal RNA", at positions 28 to 507 of the family's 1533-position model. The record is from RNAcentral.
GAUGAACGCUGGCGGCGUGCUUAACACAUGCAAGUCGAACGAUGAAGCCCAGCUUGCUGGGUGGAUUAGUGGCGAACGGGUGAGUAACACGUGAGUGACCUGCCCUUAACUCUGGGAUAAGCCUGGGAAACUGGGUCUAAUACCGGAUAGGAGCGCCUACCGCAUGGUGGGUGUUGGAAAGAUUUAUCGGUUUUGGAUGGACUCGCGGCCUAUCAGCUUGUUGGUGAGGUAAUGGCUCACCAAGGCGACGACGGGUAGCCGGCCUGAGAGGGUGACCGGCCACACUGGGACUGAGACACGGCCCAGACUCCUACGGGAGGCAGCAGUGGGGAAUAUUGCACAAUGGGCGAAAGCCUGAUGCAGCGACGCCGCGUGAGGGAUGACGGCCUUCGGGUUGUAAACCUCUUUCAGUAGGGAAGAAGCGAAAGUGACGGUACCUGCAGAAGAAGCACCGGCUAACUACGUG